CUGCCGUGGAUUCAACGGCUCGUCUGAAAUGCCUGAGUGUACCCCGCCUUGCGGCGUAUUCGGUGUGAUACAUCUUCACCGGAGUUGAUCUUUUUUGAAUCGCGUCUGUUUGGUGUGGCUCUAUGCUUCCAACAGUCCCUUCAUGGGACAAUCUCUGACAAUUUGACCUCAAAUCGGGUGGGACUACCCGCUGAACUUAA
RNAcentral lists this unclassified non-coding RNA (200 nucleotides) under soil metagenome. Its description in RNAcentral is "partial contains internal transcribed spacer 2 and large subunit ribosomal RNA". The record is from RNAcentral.